This 1159-nucleotide ribosomal RNA is filed under the name Salmonella enterica subsp. enterica serovar Derby. Its description in RNAcentral is "partial 23S ribosomal RNA". It matches the Rfam family "Bacterial large subunit ribosomal RNA", at positions 1223 to 2364 of the family's 2925-position model. The record is from RNAcentral. Lineage: Bacteria; Pseudomonadati; Pseudomonadota; Gammaproteobacteria; Enterobacterales; Enterobacteriaceae.
GUUGGGUAGGGGAGCGUUCUGUAAGCCUGUGAAGGUGGCCUGUGAGGGUUGCUGGAGGUAUCAGAAGUGCGAAUGCUGACAUAAGUAACGAUAAAGCGGGUGAAAAGCCCGCUCGCCGGAAGACCAAGGGUUCCUGUCCAACGUUAAUCGGGGCAGGGUGAGUCGACCCCUAAGGCGAGGCCGAAAGGCGUAGUCGAUGGGAAACGGGUUAAUAUUCCCGUACUUGGUGUUACUGCGAAGGGGGGACGGAGAAGGCUAUGUUGGCCGGGCGACGGUUGUCCCGGUUUAAGCGUGUAGGUGUGUGUUCCAGGUAAAUCCGGUUCACUUUAACACUGAGGCGUGAUGACGAGGCACUACGGUGCUGAAGCAACAAAUGCCCUGCUUCCAGGAAAAGCCUCUAAGCAUCAGGUAACAUCAAAUCGUACCCCAAACCGACACAGGUGGUCAGGUAGAGAAUACCAAGGCGCUUGAGAGAACUCGGGUGAAGGAACUAGGCAAAAUGGUGCCGUAACUUCGGGAGAAGGCACGCUGACAUGUAGGUGAAGUGAUUUACUCAUGGAGCUGAAGUCAGUCGAAGAUACCAGCUGGCUGCAACUGUUUAUUAAAAACACAGCACUGUGCAAACACGAAAGUGGACGUAUACGGUGUGACGCCUGCCCGGUGCCGGAAGGUUAAUUGAUGGGGUCAGCGCAAGCGAAGCUCCUGAUCGAAGCCCCGGUAAACGGCGGCCGUAACUAUAACGGUCCUAAGGUAGCGAAAUUCCUUGUCGGGUAAGUUCCGACCUGCACGAAUGGCGUAAUGAUGGCCAGGCUGUCUCCACCCGAGACUCAGUGAAAUUGAACUCGCUGUGAAGAUGCAGUGUACCCGCGGCAAGACGGAAAGACCCCGUGAACCUUUACUAUAGCUUGACACUGAACAUUGAGCCUUGAUGUGUAGGAUAGGUGGGAGGCUUUGAAGUGUGGACGCCAGUCUGCAUGGAGCCGACCUUGAAAUACCACCCUUUAAUGUUUGAUGUUCUAACGUGGACCCGUAAUCCGGGUUGCGGACAGUGUCUGGUGGGUAGUUUGACUGGGGCGGUCUCCUCCUAAAGAGUAACGGAGGAGCACGAAGGUUGGCUAAUCCUGGUCGGACAUCAGGAGGUUAGUGCAAUGGCAUAAGC